RNAcentral lists this long non-coding RNA (464 nucleotides) under Capsicum annuum. RNAcentral describes it as "long non-coding RNA (CANN_LNC014713)". The record is from RNAcentral. Lineage: Eukaryota; Viridiplantae; Streptophyta; Magnoliopsida; Solanales; Solanaceae.
AUAGAAGAUGAAUUUCUUUAUGUGGGAUAAUUUUCUUUUUAGUUUUGAUGUGAUUUCAGGAGCUCUCCUGAAGAAUAGGGCGAAUAAAUGAAAAGUCAAGCAACAUGGUGAAGAAUUUGAAAUUCAAGAAACAAGGUGAAGAAAUUGAACGUCAAUGGAUCAAAAAAUAGCAAGUCAAGAAUCGGCCUGAAGAAUAGGGUGAAGAAACAGCAAGUCAGGUGCCCGGCUGAAGAAUAUGGUGAUGAAGUAGCGAGUCAAGAGUAGGAAAGCUGAAAAGAUAGAUUUUUUGUACUUUAAUUUAUGUUUUAGCUUGUAAUUUUCAUUUUGAUGGAAUGAAAGAGCCGCAGACCGGAACCUCGACAACGACCUCACUCGACUCUUCAACUCAGUUGUCCUUAUUCCUUCUGUUUCUUCCUUUGAAUAAUGGUCGGGACAAAAUUCUUUCUUGUUAUCUACUUCUUUGU